This 433-nucleotide ribosomal RNA is filed under the name uncultured bacterium. RNAcentral's name for it is "partial 16S ribosomal RNA". It matches the Rfam family "Bacterial small subunit ribosomal RNA", at positions 29 to 507 of the family's 1533-position model. The record is from RNAcentral.
AACGAACGCUGGCGGCAUGCCUAACACAUGCAAGUCGAACGAGACCUUCGGGUCUAGUGGCGCACGGGGGCGUAACGCGUGGGAACCUGCCCUUAGGUUCGGAAUAACUCCCCGAAAGGGGUGCUAAUACCGGAUAAUGUCUUCGGACCAAAGAUUUAUUGCCUUUGGAUGGGCCCGCGUUGGAUUAGCUAGUUGGUAGGGUAAAAGCUUACCAAGGCGACGAUCCAUAGCUGGUCUGAGAGGAUGAUCAGCCACACUGGGACUGAGACACGGCCCAGACUCCUACGGGAGGCAGCAGUGGGGAAUAUUGGACAGUGGGCUGAAGCCUGAUCCAGCAAUGCCGCGUGAGUGAUGAAGGCCUUAGGGUUGUAAAGCUCUUUUACCCGGGAUGAUAAUGACAGUACCGGGAGAAUAAGCUCCGGCUAACUCCGUG